GGGGCUGAUAUAGCUUCGACGAGAGGAUUUUAACAGGAUAUUCAGCAAGUCGUUUUACACCCGUUAGGUGUUUAUUUAAUUGCAAACAAACUUGCAUCAGUAAAGGCAUUCUUCGCUAGCGCAUUCGCGCCUAAGCAAGCUGCCUUUGCGCUCGCUGCCUAAUUAUUUGGUAGCCAUCGAUCUUCCCAAGGAUACGUAGGGGAGACGGUGUUAUAUACUACGUGUCUUACUGAUCCCGCGGGCAGCUGCGAGGGGUCGGGACACUUUACAGCGGGACUUUCGCGGCUAUUUUCGCCUUACUUCUAGGCGGCACGAGUCCUAAAUUAUCCAAGUAAGGAUAUGCUUGUAGACGAAUAUCAGGUUACCUUUUGGACCCGGGGGCAGUACCCGGCAGCUCCACCA
RNAcentral lists this transfer-messenger RNA (402 nucleotides) under Candidatus Saccharibacteria bacterium 49-20. It matches the Rfam family "transfer-messenger RNA". Rfam says of the family: Bacterial tmRNA, also known as 10Sa RNA or SsrA, is named for its dual tRNA and mRNA-like properties. Its role is to liberate the mRNA from a stalled ribosome. RNAcentral also lists the same sequence under 1 other name. Lineage: Bacteria; Candidatus Saccharimonadota. The record is from RNAcentral.